Molecule: long non-coding RNA, 3128 nt
Filed under: Sus scrofa (pig)
Lineage: Eukaryota; Metazoa; Chordata; Mammalia; Artiodactyla; Suidae
Description: lncRNA (ENSSSCG00000054003.1)
Source: RNAcentral
UCCUGGCAAAUUUUAAAGAUGACUAACCUAAAGAAAUACAAAGAAAUAGGAAAGAAAUAGGACAAAUGUAAUGCAGGUAUCUUAAAAAUCAUGAAGGUUGAACACAAAUGGUGUUCAGCAAACACUGUCAUAGUGAAUAACAACAUGUAAACAUGUUUGCAAGGCCGAAUAAUGAAGGCUAAUAUCUAUGCUAGGCAAAAUGGAAGAUAGAUAUAGGAGUGAUCAACUUUUUUUGCCCUAAAAGGCAAAAAAAAAAAAAAAAUGGAAUAGUCAUUAUAACUAUUGUCUCAUUGAAGACUUCAUUUUCUUUCUUCUUUUUUGGCUACACUGCAGCAUAUAGAGUUCCUGGGCCAGAUCUGAGCCACAGUUACAACCUAUGCCACAGCUGCACAAAGCCAGAUCCUUUUAACACACUGUGCCAGCCCUGGAUUGAACCUUCAUCCUGUCACUGCAGAGACACCACUGAUCUUGUUGCACCACAGUGGGGACUCCUAGAAAACUAUUUUUAAGGACAAAAAUGUUCUGUUGGCUUUUCUGCCUCUAUGUUCUGAAUAGGAAUUUUUUUUUUAAUUUUGUUGAUAAAUGAUAUGAUGAGAAAAAAAAAAAAGCAUAAAGAACUUUACAUAUUAGAACUUCAAAGCAAGUCCUAAAGAGCCCUGCACUGUGAUUGUUUCUUCCUGAGAUGCCCAGAUUGGUCCCUGGAGCUAGUUUCUGUGGGCUAAGUUAAUGUUUAUUAGAGGAUGAAGACUCUGAACUCUGGCUCAGAUUUAAUGCAGAAACCCAGCUCAAGCUGGAACCACACAGCCCAGACUUUUAAGUCCAGAAAAACAACUUCACUCACAGGGUCUUAUUGUUCUUAUCUUUUAAAAGAGGGAUGGCAGCACCUCCUGGGUGAUGAAAUGCCUGCAGGGAACUUAGCACAGUGCCUGACACAGAAGCCCUGCUUAGUAAUUGCUGGCUAUUGCUGUUAGUAAUGUUCAUGCUGAAUAAAGCCCAGGAGUUUCACCUGAGUUCUGGAAGCUGGACUGCUUACUCCAAUGAAGGCUGCAGCAAUUUUUGCAGUGGCAGAAAGCAGGAGAGGAAGAAACUCUGUGAUUGGACUUUGGCUCCGAAAUGAUAUAAAGCAAACAAAACAACAACAACAACAAAAUCAGUUCUUUAAGUAUAGGAGAAAGAUUUUUACCAUUUUCGGUCCUAAGCAGUCCUAUAAGAUAAUGUACUGGAAGGUGAGGCAAUAUCGUUUCAUGCUUUCCCCAUGAAUGGCAGUCUCACUUACAAAUUACUGUACUCCCCUGGAGAGUAAUUGAUCACUGUUGUUGCUUCUGCUAGCCUCUGCUCUUCACUAUUAAAAAACAAAAUUAGGAGUUCCUGUUGUGGCUCAUCAGGUAAAGAACCUGACAGAGUGUCCAUGAGAAUGCACAUUCAAUCCCUGGCCUUGUUCAGUGGGUUAAGGAUCUGGCAUUGCUGCAAGCUAUGGCAUAGGUUGCCGACGCAGCUCAGAUCCAGUGUGUACAUGGCUGUGGACCACUGCUGUAGCUCUGAUUCAACCCCUAGCCUGGGAACCUCCAUAUACCACAGUUGCAGCCUUUUUUAAGGAAAAAAAAAAAAGCAAAAUUGGAUGAGUCAAGGUUAUGUUAUUAAAUUAAAUUCAACAUACAUUCCUGAAGAAAGAUAUAUGUGUCAACAGCUAAUUCUAACACCAAGCACAACGUGAUACACUCUAUAACUCAGGGACUACAGGUGGGGGAACCACUAAUGUUUUCUGAUGAAAGAGGCAACAAUUGGGUGAAAACUUAAAAGACAAAUAGGAUAUCAACAGGUAGAGAGAGACAGAGAGGCUUUCCAGAAAGAAGGAUCAGCAUGGGCAAAAGCCCAGACAUGGUUGUAUAGGGGAGAGGGGAACAGAACUACACUGAAUUGUCAAGGAGUAAGCCCAGAAAAGUGAUUGGUUUCCAGAUCAAAGGAUCAUGGUAAUAGAUGGUAGGGGUUCAGGAGACAACUUCAGUAUAUCUAAAUAGAGGUCACGUAUUCCACUCUCUUCAUUCUCCUUGUGCCAAGCCUGACCUGUUCAAGUUGUCGGUAUACUUUUGUCCCAGAAGGUUGUAGGCUCAAGAGCAGGAAGUGUCUUAUUCUUCUCCAUCUGGGCACAGGAGAGACUACUUAAAUAGGCCUGUGUGGCACAGGCAAUGAAUCGUCCACUCUCAGACAAUUGCAAGUAGCUUCACCUUCACUUUUCCUCUAGAAUCAUUAAUAGUGAAUAUUGGUUUGUUUCAGUAUUGACUCCAAACAAUGCAAAUAUAUAAUAUCCCACUCCUUCCCCUUCCAAGUUGACCAAGUCUACUUACUCUUAUCUGGACUAUUUCAGUAUCCUCCUACAUAACAUGAGCCCCUACCUACCAGCAGCACCCUCAGAAAGCAGAGAAGCUUAUAUGCAUAAGUACGUAUUGGAAUAUGAUCUUGGAGAAGAAGCAUGUGGCACUAGGAAGGACAAAGCAGGAAGUGAAGGUUAGCCAGUGUAGAUCAGUUCUGCUAAGCCCAUUUGAGGAGCCAUUUAGAAUAUACCUUAACUCAUUCCAGCCAAAGGACAUAAAAAGCAAUUUGUCUUUAGUCUCCUGUUGUUCAAAGAUCACCCCAUGGGUUUGUUAACUGCCUCACACAUUCAGGUCAUACCCAGGCAUACUUUGUGGAUCUUACACACUUCAUAAGAAGCACUGAGGAAAAGAGGAAAUAUAUGUAGCUAUAGGCAAGGUAAAGCACUGGCUAUUUAUACCUCAGAGGGGCUAGAUGCUGCAACAAUAGCUAGAGAAAGAAGUGAGCUGAGGAUGCAAGGUUAAGUUACCUGGUAUGGUGUCCAAAUAUGCCUGCUAACUAUUCUCUUUACUCCCAGGAUAAAGUCCAAAACGGUCAACCUGGUAUGUAAGGCCCCUGAUUCAUGAGGCCCCAUCUAUAUCAUUGGCACUUCCCAUGUCACUUCUCCCCACUGACUAGGCACAUGGCAUUUCUCCAGAGAAAUCGCUUUGUUUCAUCAAAGCUGGUAUUAUUGCUUAAGUGGUCUUCCCUCUAUAUGGAACUAUUCUAGACAGAAUUUCAUUAAUAUCAAAUAGUACCUCCAGAGUGAAACCUUCCCU